CAAACAUGCAUAUAAAUGAUAUAUAGCAUGCGAAGCUCAAUCAUAUUACACUCGUUAUAUAACGAUUUUCUGUACAUGUUACAUAACAUUUCUUUUAUUUUGAAAUGUAUCACACAUCCUUUGAGAACAUAUUCACGGUAUAUAUUACUAUACAACUUUUAUGAUACAUUGCAACUUGAACAUAUGCGAUAUAUCGCAAAUACAAUCUACAUUCACAAGUUUAAAUUAAUAACACUAAGCACAUGCGCAAAGGCACGGUGAAUUGUGCACAUGUAAAGUCCCUAGAUUACUUCCAGGGACUUUAUGCACAUGCACACGCUUCCGAAAAUUUGAUGCAAUUAGGGUGGUUUUAAUAAAAGUUUAAUUUGUGUUUAUUAUUAUAAUAUAUAUACAAACAGUUCUGUGGUGAAGUUUUAGUUUUUGGCGUGCUACCCAGCGACAUGUAAGUACCUAGAAAGUUUUUAUAUUUGAUUAAAAUUUGUACAUUAAAGCGAUCUUAACCUAACUUUAUAUGCACUUCAUGUACGAUUCUUUUUAACAUAUUUCAUUAGGGCGACGCUCAAAAAUACACUUUGUGGUUUGUUUAGUAACCGACGUUCACAAGUUUGCAAAGGUAUAUUAAAUGAGUAACCUGGCACUUACCUAAACCUUGCGAUAGUUACCGCAUCACUGAUCGUCAAUUAAUAUUUGUUCGUAGCAAGUUUUUGGACCUUACACAACAAAACAAAAUGAAAAGAAGCAGAAAAGAUUUUACUAAAAAGCUGAAGACCGGGAUUAUACAUCGGCAGAUGAAAAAGCCUUAGGACGAGGAAAAAGAUCUAAGGCUAUUACUCAUCCUUGUAAUACAGAUUCUAGUUCUGAUUCUAGAGAAUCUUCAAAGUCACCACCACCACCGCGACUUCCUCCACGAGCUAUUAGUCACAAAAAAACUUCAAAAGUGAACACUGUGGAGAAAGUUAACCAGAACAACUUCGAGGAUAACAUUCAAGUUAUAGACGAAAUAUCUAUUUUAUCAGAAAUUCCGAUAAUUAUUGAUGGUGUAGAAGAAUUCAUACAAUCACCAGCCACUCCUGUAGCAAUCGACGUAGAAGUUAACAAGAAGUUUGACAAAAUUUUGGAAAUGCUGCAUUCUGUCCAUUUAUAUGUACGUAGCAUUGAUGAAAUUUAAAAAAAUUACACUCGGUGACAACUGAAGAACGUAAUCAGCCUACAGCUGAAACAAAAUUUAUAAACGAUCUACUGCCAAUCCCUAAUAUUGAUGCUCUCAAACAAUUUGAAGUUUUAUUAGAGAAUGAAGGCCAUACUAAACAGUUUCACAUAAUUUUAAGUAACAUUGGUGGUAAAAAUGGAAAGGAUAAUAUUCACCGUCUUUUAAAGAAAGUUUAUUCAAACCAAAUGUCUACAAAGUGCUCUUGGUUAGGACAAAGAGGAAACUUUAAAAUUAGCACCACAAAAAGUAUGCAAAUUAUAAAAGGUGUCACAAUAAAUUCAUAUGUUGAUGUCAAGGAAAGCGAUUUCGAACGCAUUUCCAGCGAAUGGUUCCGGUUGGCAAAAUUACGAGCAGACCGAGAAAGAUAAAUACCUAUUUUGAUAUUCUUAUUACCUUUUUAUUUAACAGAUUAUUAAUUACCUGUACGAGUUGUGUUACGUUUGCUAUGUAUAUUUUACAUAAUAAAUUAGUUAAAAGAUA
Molecule: long non-coding RNA, 1690 nt
Organism: Photinus pyralis (common eastern firefly)
Lineage: Eukaryota; Metazoa; Arthropoda; Insecta; Coleoptera; Lampyridae
Exons: 6
Source: RefSeq, a predicted model, not a curated record